RNAcentral lists this ribosomal RNA (497 nucleotides) under uncultured bacterium. RNAcentral describes it as "partial 16S ribosomal RNA". It matches the Rfam family "Bacterial small subunit ribosomal RNA", at positions 28 to 507 of the family's 1533-position model. The record is from RNAcentral.
GAUGAACGCUGGCGGCGUGCCUAAUACAUGCAAGUCGAGCGAACGGACGAGAAGCUUGCUUCUCUGAUGUUAGCGGCGGACGGGUGAGUAACACGUGGAUAACCUACCUAUAAGACUGGGAUAACUUCGGGAAACCGGAGCUAAUACCGGAUAAUAUUUUGAACCGCAUGGUUCAAAAGUGAAAGACGGUCUUGCUGUCACUUAUAGAUGGCUCCGCGCUGCAUUAGCUAGUUGGUAAGGUAACGGCUUACCAAGGCAACGAUGCAUAGCCGACCUGAGAGGGUGAUCGGCCACACUGGAACUGAGACACGGCCCAGACUCCGACGGGAGGCAGCAGUAGGGAAUCUUCCGCAAUGGGCGAAAGCCUGACGGAGCAACGCCGCGUGAGUGAUGAAGGUCUUCGGAUCGUAAAACUCUGUUAUUAGGGAAGAACAUAUGUGUAAGUAACUGUGCACAUCUUGACGGUACCUAAUCAGAAAGCCACGGCUAACUACGUG